GAGUUGAGUACCUUCUGAAUCAGUAGCACAAGCAUCCUACCUCUAUAGAUAUCCAAAGAGCUGAUCUAGAUAAGCUCCUCUUAAUACAACUUGAAAGAAGAGUGCCCUAUAAGCCAAUCGCAAGUGUACUGUGAUGGAACUUUUCUUUAUAAUUUUUCAACUCAUGAAAUGAUAUUUAUUAUUUAAGGUAUUGAUUCAUCAUAUUAGCUACAUCUUAUUAUAUCUAA
Molecule: long non-coding RNA, 227 nt
Filed under: Elaeis guineensis (African oil palm)
Lineage: Eukaryota; Viridiplantae; Streptophyta; Magnoliopsida; Arecales; Arecaceae
Description: long non-coding RNA (EGUI_LNC066756)
Source: RNAcentral